AGAAUGAACGCUGGCGGCGUGCUUAACACAUGCAAGUCGUACGAGAACUCUUUAGCUUGCUAAAGAUAGUAAAGUGGCGCACGGGUGAGUAACGCGUGGGUAAUCUACCUUCGAAUCGGGGAUAACAUUGCGAAAGCGAUGCUAAUACCGGAUAAUAUCCCAAAACCAUCUGGUUUUGAGAUCAAAAAUGGCCUCUACAUGUAAGCUGUUGUUUGGAGAUGAGCCCGCGUACCAUUAGCUUGUUGGUAGGGUAAUGGCCUACCAAGGCAACGAUGGUUAGCUGGUCUGAGAGGAUGAUCAGCCACACUGGAACUGACACACGGUCCAGACUCCUACGGGAGGCAGCAGUGAGGAAUUUUGCGCAAUGGGGGAAACCCUGACGCAGCAACGCCGCGUGAGUGAUGAAGGCCUUCGGGUCGUAAAGCUCUGUCAAGUGGGAAGAAAAUGAAAAAUGUUAAUACCAUUUUUUACUGACGGUACCACUGAAGGAAGCACCGGCUAACUCCGUGCCAGCAGCCGCGGUAAUACGGAGGGUGCAAGCGUUAUUCGGAAUUAUUGGGCGUAAAGGGCGCGUAGGCGGCCUUUUAAGUCAGAUGUGAAAGCCCGGGGCUUAACCCCGGAAGUGCAUUUGAAACUAAAGGGCUUGAGUAUGGGAGAGGGAAGUGGAAUUCCUGGUGUAGCGGUGAAAUGCGUAGAUAUCAGGAGGAACACCGGUGGCGAAGGCGACUUCCUGGACCAAUACUGACGCUAAGGCGCGAAGGCGUGGGUAGCAAACAGGAUUAGAUACCCUGGUAGUCCACGCAGUAAACGGUGAACACUAGGUGUAGCGGGUAUUGACCCCUGCUGUGCCGCAGCUAACGCAUUAAGUGUUCCGCCUGGGGAGUACGGUCGCAAGAUUAAAACUCAAGGAAUUGACGGGGGCCCGCACAAGCGGUGGAGCAUG
This 943-nucleotide ribosomal RNA is filed under the name uncultured bacterium. RNAcentral describes it as "bacterial SSU rRNA". It matches the Rfam family "Bacterial small subunit ribosomal RNA", at positions 26 to 941 of the family's 1533-position model. The record is from RNAcentral.